UGGGAAUUUUGGACAAUGGGCGCAAGCCUGAUCCAGCAAUGCCGCGUGCAGGAUGAAGGCCUUCGGGUUGUAAACUGCUUUUGUACGGAACGAAAAGCCUCUCUCUAAUACAGGGGGUGAUGACGGUACCGUAAGAAUAAGCACCGGCUAACUACGUGCCAGCAGCCGCGGUAAUACGUAGGGCGCAAGCGUUAAUCGGAAUUACUGGGCGUAAAGCGUGCGCAGGCGGUUUUGUAAGACAGUGGUGAAAUCCCCGGGCUCAACCUGGGAACUGCCAUUGUGACUGCAAGGCUGGAGUGCGGCAGAGGGGGAUGGAAUUCCGCGUGUAGCAGUGAAAUGCGUAGAUAUGCGGAGGAACACCGAUGGCGAAGGCAAUCCCCUGGGCCUGCACUGACGCUCAUGCACGAAAGCGUGGGGAGCAAACAGGAUUAGAUACCCUGGUAGUCCACGCCCUAAACGAUGUCAACUGGUUGUUGGGGAUUUAUCUCUUCAGUAACGAAGCUAACGCGUGAAGUUGACCGCCUGGGGAGUACGGCCGCAAGGUU
RNAcentral lists this ribosomal RNA (545 nucleotides) under uncultured bacterium. RNAcentral's name for it is "partial 16S ribosomal RNA". It matches the Rfam family "Bacterial small subunit ribosomal RNA", at positions 356 to 895 of the family's 1533-position model. The record is from RNAcentral.